AUGAAAUUGCCAGAAGGGAUUGUUUUGCUGGUAAAAGUUAUGUGUCACUUUUUGGCCAGGAAGACAACUCCUGACAGAGAUGCUUCCUACAGCACACCAUAGUAGUGGGAGUGGAAUAACUGCUGCAUCACCAACACCUGUGAGCAUCACCUGGAAAAGCCUUACACAACCAGAAAGACAGAGCCAACAGAGUAGUGUAUGGCUAGUGACUUUUCUUCCUGAGGAGAAUGACUGA
This 235-nucleotide long non-coding RNA is filed under the name Manacus vitellinus (golden-collared manakin). RNAcentral's name for it is "lncRNA (ENSMVIG00005018582.1)". The record is from RNAcentral. Lineage: Eukaryota; Metazoa; Chordata; Aves; Passeriformes; Pipridae.